Non-coding RNA from Xyrichtys novacula (pearly razorfish), 175 nucleotides. The record is from the annotation of a GenBank genome assembly. Lineage: Eukaryota; Metazoa; Chordata; Actinopteri; Labriformes; Labridae.
GGUCGUGCUCUAGGUCAGAUCUGUACGGUGACCCUGAGGUACAAAACACAACGGUAAAUCAGAAAACACAACAACAUUAACCAUUGUGUUUUCUCUCUUUGUGUUGUGUUUUCUAAUUUGCCAUUGUCUUUUGCACCUCAGGGCCACGGUAGAUCUGUGAUCUUGGAUCUUUGGC